This 360-nucleotide unclassified non-coding RNA is filed under the name soil metagenome. RNAcentral's name for it is "partial contains 5.8S ribosomal RNA, internal transcribed spacer 2, and large subunit ribosomal RNA". The stretch from base 1 to 120 matches the Rfam family "5.8S ribosomal RNA", at positions 35 to 154 of the family's 154-position model. The record is from RNAcentral.
GAUGAAGAACGUAGCGAAAUGCGAUAAGUAAUGUGAAUUGCAGAAUUCAGUGAAUCAUCGAAUCUUUGAACGCACAUUGCGCCCGCCAGUAUUCUGGCGGACAUGCCUGUCCGAGCGUCAUUUCAACCCUCGGGCCCCCCUCUGCGGGCGGCCCGGCGUUGGGGCUCAGGCGCCGUCUCUGCUCGGCGCCUGUCCCCUAAAUGCAGUGGCGGCCUCGCCGCUGCCUCCUCCGCGUAGUAGCACAAACCUCGCGGCUGGAAGGCGGCGCGGCCACGCCGUAAAACCCCCCAACUUUACCAAGGUUGACCUCGGAUCAGGUAGGAAUACCCGCUGAACUUAAGCAUAUCAAUAAGCGGAGGA